This 484-nucleotide ribosomal RNA is filed under the name uncultured bacterium. RNAcentral describes it as "partial 16S ribosomal RNA". It matches the Rfam family "Bacterial small subunit ribosomal RNA", at positions 30 to 507 of the family's 1533-position model. The record is from RNAcentral.
AUUGAACGCUGGCGGCAGGCCUAACACAUGCAAGUCGAGCGGAUGAAGGGAGCUUGCUCCUGGAUUCAGCGGCGGACGGGUGAGUAAUGCCUAGGAAUCUGCCUGGUAGUGGGGGAUAACGUCCGGAAACGGGCGCUAAUACAGCAUACGUCCUGAGGGAGAAAGUGGGGGAUCUUCGGACCUCACGCUAUCAGAUGAGCCUAGGUCGGAUUAGCUAGCUGGUGGGGUAAAGGCCUACCAAGGCGACGAUCCGUAACUGGUCUGAGAGGAUGAUCAGUCACACUGGAACUGAGACACGGUCCAGACUCCUACGGGAGGCAGCAGUGGGGAAUAUUGGACAAUGGGCGAAAGCCUGAUCCAGCCAUGCCGCGUGUGUGAAGAAGGUCUUCGGAUUGUAAAGCACUUUAAGUUGGGAGGAAGGGCAGUAAGUUAAUACCUUGCUGUUUUGACGUUACCAACAGAAUAAGCACCGGCUAACUUCGUG